Molecule: long non-coding RNA, 688 nt
Organism: Nicotiana tabacum (common tobacco)
Lineage: Eukaryota; Viridiplantae; Streptophyta; Magnoliopsida; Solanales; Solanaceae
Source: RefSeq, a predicted model, not a curated record
AAUGACAACCAUAUAGCGGCAUACUUUUGUUUUCUUUAUCAUCACUUUGCUUGCCUCAAAACUUCAUCUGAAUAUAUAGUUGAAUCUAUCAUUUCCACAAUGAUAUAUUCCUCUAAAAACUGUGAGAUGGAGAGUCAACAAGAGAAAGACAUGGAGUUUCCUUCUAGGAAGUGGAGUGAAAAGACUAUGAAUGCGUAUAUUCAUAGUCAAAUUAUGCGAAUUAGAGCAGAGGAUUUGCAACUUGGGGAAGAUAUAGCCAAGAAGCUUAGGCAGAGAGUUGUUGAUCAAGAUGUUGCCUCGUCUGUUAUGCUAUUGUCAAGGCCUAUGUUGCCUGCUUCACCUCUUAGUGGAAAAACGGCCAUAAAAUCUGCUAAUUGAUCACAAACUAGGAAGAUUUACUGUACGACUGAGGAAUAUGGGAGACGACCGUCCACAGGGAAGAGGGAUAAUGAAGAUGAUGUAAAUAGAGAUGGAGAUGAAGUUCCUUUUCUUAUCAGUUCCGUUUUGUAUGUUUUGCUGUACAGUAAUACGUAUAAAGUAGGCAGAAUACAGACGAAAACUCCUCACUAUGUACCUUUAAAAAAGAAAAUACGUAGCACGAUAAUCAAAGUUAGUGAAUACUAGUGACUACUUACCUGUCAAUUAAAAAAAAAAGGUUAAUGAACACGUCUCUGUAUGUUCGACCUAA